UUCAUGGAAAAUUUACAAAAUUAGUACAUUGGGACACAGCGCCAAUGUAUUAGCUCUUCAACAUCACACAGAUCUUCAGUCUACAGUUUAUUGGACUUUCAGCACAGACUGAUUUCCCCCAUCCCUUACCUGGAAACCACUUAACUUUUCGAGUGGACUCUCAACACGGGGCAGGCUGAGGAGAGGCAGCCCCAUGGGGGGCUCUGGACGCUGUGGAGGUGGAGGAGUUGGCAGUGCUAUCUGGGUUUGCUGGAAAUUGUUGAUCACACAUGACACCUGAUGGAGAGCAGAGAAAAGUGGAAGGCAGCGAUGGCCCCUCCUGUGAUAAACCCAGCCAGGACAUCGUUCCAGUGGUUUCUGUGUUCAGUCACCCUCAUCACCCCAACCAGCACGGCCAGAGACAGCAGCACUAGGCACAGGGUGGGCUUUGUCAGACGGGUCCCUUUGGUCCGGAACACCAGAGUCACAUACAUCUGUAAAAAAUGUCAUGUUAGUUAGUUAGUAGUGAACCAGGUGUUGAAUCUCCUCAAUCUCCUUCAGUCAGCCAGCCAGCUGAGAUAAUUCAAAGAGUGCUACAUCUUGAAUAGCUUAAUGGGUUGAAUGGCUUGAACAAGCCACAAGAGGCCGCACAGUGCAAUGAUUUUAGAGCAGCUGAAGGGUUUUGAUGAAGUACAAAAAGAAAGCACCAUGAAAAACACUGUUUUAAUGCUUCUAAAAAAUGACAGGAACAUAGCACUGUAAUUAAAAAGAACAAACGCACCAUCAAAGGUUUUGUUUUUCAGCAGAACUUAAAUCAUAGCUAGUUGUUUCUACUCAUGUCAUACAUCAUUAUUGUAGAAAUUGGAAGUGUUCACAAGUUAUUGAAAAAAAAAUUUAUCAACAAAUUCCUGUUUUUUUUUAA
Molecule: long non-coding RNA, 901 nt
Organism: Micropterus dolomieu (smallmouth bass)
Lineage: Eukaryota; Metazoa; Chordata; Actinopteri; Centrarchiformes; Centrarchidae
Exons: 3
Source: RefSeq, a predicted model, not a curated record